RNAcentral lists this ribosomal RNA (496 nucleotides) under uncultured bacterium. RNAcentral's name for it is "partial 16S ribosomal RNA". It matches the Rfam family "Bacterial small subunit ribosomal RNA", at positions 28 to 506 of the family's 1533-position model. The record is from RNAcentral.
GAUGAACGCUGGCGGCGUGCCUAAUACAUGCAAGUCGAGCGAACAGAUGAGGUGCUUGCUCCUCUGACGUUAGCGGCGGACGGGUGAGUAACACGUGGAUAACCUACCUAUAAGACUGGGAUAACUUCGGGAAACCGGAGCUAAUACCGGAUAAUAUAUUGAACCGCAUGGUUCAAUAGUGAAAGACGGUUUUGCUGUCACUUAUAGAUGGAUCCGCGCCGCAUUAGCUAGUUGGUAAGGUAACGGCUUACCAAGGCAACGAUGCGUAGCCGACCUGAGAGGGUGAUCGGCCACACUGGAACUGAGACACGGUCCAGACUCCUACGGGAGGCAGCAGUAGGGAAUCUUCCGCAAUGGGCGAAAGCCUGACGGAGCAACGCCGCGUGAGUGAUGAAGGUCUUCGGAUCGUAAAACUCUGUUAUUAGGGAAGAACAAAUGUGUAAGUAACUAUGCACGUCUUGACGGUACCUAAUCAGAAAACCACGGCUAACUACGU